GGAUGUCAGGACAAUCUGGCUGUGACAUCUGUCAUCCCAUUGGUCACCAGGGUUGAUUUAGCUGAUCUGUCUGGCUAGGCUAGUGUCCCUUCCUCGCCAUUCUGUGUUCAGUCAAAGAGGAUGAGUUUCUCCAUAUCAGGGAGGUCGGGUGCUCAGUCAUGGGUAUACGAUAGCCACACUCCCCAUUGCCAGGACUUCCAGACAAGCUCUCAAAGCCUUGUGUGUGAAGUCUUUUAGAAGAUUUAUUUUAUUUAGUUUGUGCAUGUGAGUGUUUUCUUGCACCUGAAACU
Molecule: unclassified non-coding RNA, 290 nt
Organism: Cricetulus griseus (Chinese hamster)
Lineage: Eukaryota; Metazoa; Chordata; Mammalia; Rodentia; Cricetidae
Gene: 7SK
Rfam family: 7SK RNA
About the family: 7SK was discovered as an abundant small nuclear RNA in the mid-70s but a possible function has only recently been suggested. Two independent studies have found that 7SK RNA binds the CDK9/cyclin T complex (known as elongation factor P-TEFb). P-TEFb activates transcription by phosphorylating the C-terminal domain of RNA polymerase II.
Source: Ensembl